CCUACGGGAGGCAGCAGUGGGGAAUAUUGGACAAUGGGCGAAAGCCUGAUCCAGCAAUGCCGCGUGAGUGAUGAAGGCCUUAGGGUUGUAAAGCUCUUUUACCAGGGAUGAUAAUGACAGUACCUGGAGAAUAAGCUCCGGCUAACUCCGUGCCAGCAGCCGCGGUAAUACGGAGGGAGCUAGCGUUGUUCGGAAUUACUGGGCGUAAAGCGUGCGUAGGCGGCUAUUCAAGUCAGAGGUGAAAGCCCGGGGCUCAACCCCGGAACGGCCUUUGAAACUAGGUAGCUAGAAUCUUGGAGAGGUUAGUGGAAUUCCGAGUGUAGAGGUGAAAUUCGUAGAUAUUCGGAAGAACACCAGUGGCGAAGGCGACUAACUGGACAAGUAUUGACGCUGAGGUACGAAAGCGUGGGGAGCAAACAGGAUUAGAUACCCUGGUAGUCCACGCCGUAAACGAUGAUAACUAGCUGUCCGGGCACUUGGUGCUUGGGUGGCGCAGCUACGACAUUAAGUUAUUCCGUCCGUCGGGUAGGUACGGUCGCGAGAAUUAAACUAACAAGAAGUAGACGCGUGAGACGNGCCGACGACGACGACGAGGGAGUAGG
This 602-nucleotide ribosomal RNA is filed under the name uncultured bacterium. RNAcentral's name for it is "bacterial SSU rRNA". The stretch from base 1 to 519 matches the Rfam family "Bacterial small subunit ribosomal RNA", at positions 338 to 873 of the family's 1533-position model. The record is from RNAcentral.